This 387-nucleotide unclassified non-coding RNA is filed under the name soil metagenome. Its description in RNAcentral is "partial contains 5.8S ribosomal RNA, internal transcribed spacer 2, and large subunit ribosomal RNA". The stretch from base 1 to 120 matches the Rfam family "5.8S ribosomal RNA", at positions 35 to 154 of the family's 154-position model. The record is from RNAcentral.
GAUGAAGAACGCAGCGAAAUGCGAUAAGUAAUGUGAGUUGCAGAAUUCAGUGAAUCAUCGAAUCUUUGAACGCACCUUGCACCCUUUGGUAUUCCGAAGGGUAUGCUCGUUUGAGUGUCAUUGUACUCUCACACUUCUAAUUCCUUUCGGGAUUGGGAGCGGUGGACUUGGGUGUUGCUGCUUUAGUUGUGGCUCACCUCAAAUAAGUUAGUGCAACUCUUGGUUGGACAUAGUACGGCGUGAUAAGUGUCUUCGCCGGCGCCUCUGUAAGGAGGGUGGCCGAUCGGGAGCUCUGUGCUUCAAACCGUCUUCGGACAAUCUUUGACAACUUGACCUCAAAUCGAGUAGGACUACCCGCUGAACUUAAGCAUAUCAAUAAGCGGAGGA